UGGGGAAUUUUGGACAAUGGGGGCAACCCUGAUCCAGCCAUGCCGCGUGAGUGAAGAAGGCCUUCGGGUUGUAAAGCUCUUUCGUCUAGGAAGAAAUUGUCUGUGUGAAUAAUGCAGAUGGAUGACGGUACUGGAAGAAGAAGCACCGGCUAACUACGUGCCAGCAGCCGCGGUAAUACGUAGGGUGCGAGCGUUAAUCGGAAUUACUGGGCGUAAAGCGUGCGCAGGCGGUAAUGCAAGACAGGUGUGAAAUCCCCGGGCUCAACCUGGGAAUGGCGCUUGUGACUGCAUUGCUAGAGUGCGGCAGAGGGAGGUGGAAUUCCACGUGUAGCAGUGAAAUGCGUAGAGAUGUGGAGGAACACCGAUGGCGAAGGCAGCCUCCUGGGUCGGCACUGACGCU
RNAcentral lists this ribosomal RNA (400 nucleotides) under uncultured bacterium. Its description in RNAcentral is "bacterial SSU rRNA". It matches the Rfam family "Bacterial small subunit ribosomal RNA", at positions 355 to 747 of the family's 1533-position model. The record is from RNAcentral.